GGUUGAUCCUGCCAGUAGUCAUAUGCUUGUCUCAAAGAUUAAGCCAUGCAUGUCUAAGUAUAAACUUCUUUAUACCGUGAAACUGCGUACAGCUCAUUAUAUCAGUAAUCAUUUCUUUGAUGGUACCUUACUACAUGGAUACCCGUAGUAAUUCUAGAGCUAAUACAUGCGUCAAGGGUAGUCUCUCUCGAGACUACUUGUGCUUAUUAGAUAUAAACUCAAUGCGGGUGUUAAAGCCCGGUCUCAUUGGUGAAUCAUAGUAACUGUUCGAAUCGAAUGGCUUUAUGCUGUC
Molecule: ribosomal RNA, 292 nt
Filed under: uncultured eukaryote
Lineage: Eukaryota
Description: partial 18S ribosomal RNA
Rfam family: Eukaryotic small subunit ribosomal RNA
Source: RNAcentral